GACUUCUUACUUGUUUGCUUUAUUUUUUUCCCCUAUUUUCCUUGGUUUUUGGCUCUAAACUUGUUUCUUCAAGGUCAAAUUUCAUAUUUUUCCUCUUUUUAACUUCCUUUUUCCUUUUUUUUCUUGGUCUUUGCUCAAAUCUCAUGCAUUUCCUUUACUUGGUUCCUUUCAUUUUUUCACAAGUCUUCGAUUUUCCUUUUAAGCAUGUUUGAACCAUUCUUCCAUCUUGGUUAUUGAGUGUGCU
This 244-nucleotide long non-coding RNA is filed under the name Vitis vinifera (wine grape). RNAcentral describes it as "long non-coding RNA (VVIN_LNC004746)". The record is from RNAcentral. Lineage: Eukaryota; Viridiplantae; Streptophyta; Magnoliopsida; Vitales; Vitaceae.